Molecule: long non-coding RNA, 283 nt
Organism: Peromyscus eremicus (cactus mouse)
Lineage: Eukaryota; Metazoa; Chordata; Mammalia; Rodentia; Cricetidae
Exons: 3
Source: RefSeq, a predicted model, not a curated record
GUGACAUGCCACCUAGUGCUUGCCACUGUAAUUCCGUAAUGUAAUUUGAGGCUAAGCAUUAUGGUACUUCCAGCAUUUUUCUCUCUGUGGCUGCAGACUGAGCGGGACACAGGAAAACUCCCCGUUACAAGAUUAUGAACAUUACACUGAACAAGACUGGUCUGAUAAGAUAUGAAGAUUCUUUCAGGAGGUGGUUGGGAGGAACUGGAGGAAUGGAAGGAGGAGAAGCUAUGGUCAAGAUGUUUUGUAAGAGAGAAGAAUAAAUUUUAAAUUUUUCAGUGUU